Molecule: long non-coding RNA, 316 nt
Organism: Oncorhynchus keta (chum salmon)
Lineage: Eukaryota; Metazoa; Chordata; Actinopteri; Salmoniformes; Salmonidae
Exons: 3
Source: RefSeq, a predicted model, not a curated record
CUCCCUGUUCCUGGAUCUCAUACAGGUGUCUUCCCUUUCCCUCCCUGUUCCUGGAUCUCAUACAGGUGUCUUCCCUUUCUCUCCCUGUUCCUGGAUCUCAUACAGGUGUCUUCCCUUUCUCUCCCUGUUCCUGGAUCUCAUACAGGUGUCUUCCCUUUCUCUCCCUGUUCCUGGAUCUCAUACAGGUGUCUUCCCUUUCUCUCCCUGUUCCUGGAUCUCAUACAGGUGUCUUCCCUUUCUCUCCCUGUUCCUGGAUCUCAUACAGGUGUCUUCCCUUUCUCUCCCUGUUCCUGGAUCUCAUACAGGUGUCUUCCCU